CCAAAGUUGGAAGGGCGCAAAUCGUAUUAUGGAAGGAAAUUGUCGCCCUGCGUGAGUGAAGUCGCUUUGUACUCACGCGGAGCGAGCAUCCAGCUCCAGCGUCCCCCUUCCAUAUGUCUAUAUAUUUAUUGAACAACGGAAAAAUCCUACCCCGUCCUGGGAUCUACAAUUGAAAGGGGCGAACAUCAAGCUUCUCCUCCACAUUAGGUUCAAGAUUCAAGAAAGAGAACUUAAAAAAAAAAAAACCAAGAGAAGCUGUGAUUUGAAGGGAACAUGGCUACUCCAGAUGUCACGCUUCCCCAGAUUGCGAUAAUUGGUGCAGGUAUCUUUGUGCGCACACAGUAUAUUCCUAGGCUAAGGGAGAUAGCUGAUCAUGUGAUUAUUAAAGCAAUUUGGAGUCGUAGUGAGGAAUCUGCAAAAGCUGCUGUGGAACUUGCACGUGAUUUUGCGCCACAAGUAGAAUGUAAAUGGGGUGACUCGGGCCUUGAAGAUAUUAUUCAGGAUAGUUCAAUAAAAGGAGUUGUGGUCGUCCUUGCUGGGCAAGUUCAGGUUGACAUUUCCCUGAAAAUGUUAAAGAUGGGAAAGCAUGUUAUUCAAGAGAAACCUGCUGCUGAAUCAACUAGUGAGGCGGACACUGCACUGUCACGCUAUAAAUCCCUGUGCGACCAUUUCCGCAGCCAACCAAUUUGGGCUGUUGCAGAAAAUUACCGCUUUGAACCUGCAUUUGUGGAGGCCAGGAAAUUAAUAAAUGAAAUCGGUGAUAUGAUGAACAUCCAAGUUAUUGUUGAAGGAUCAAUGAAUAGUUCGAACCCUUACUUCUCAAGCUCUUGGAGGCGAAAAUUUAUUGGUGGUUUUAUUCUAGAUAUGGGUGUACACUUCAUUGCUGGAUUGAGAAUGAUUGUUGGAUGCGAGAUUACCACAGUAUCUGCUAUUGCCCGUCAUGUGGAUAUGGCGCUGCCACCUCCUGAUAAUCUAUGUGCCCUUUUCCAACUGGAAAAUGGCUGUGCUGGGGUGUUUGUUAUGGCCGUAUCCUCAACAUCACCCAAGAUUUAUUGGCGAGUUGAUGGAUCAAAUGGAACACUUCAAAUUGAGCGUGGAAGUGAUAAUGGGCAGCAUGGCUACAUGGUUCUGUUAUAUAAGGCUGAUGGACAUUGUCAAAGAACCUUCCAUCCAUUCUCUGGAGUGAAUGAAGAAUUGAAGGCUUUUGUUCACGACAUUACGCAAGCUACCACUAAGGAGGGAGUUGCUGGCCAGAAAGCUGAACCGCGCAGUUCUUAUGUUGAAGGUGCCCGAGAUGUCGCUGUUUUAGAAGCUAUGCUUGACUCAAGCAGAAAGGAAGGAGCUCAGGUCCAUGUGAAAAAAUUCUAGGCAAAAUCAUCUUGUGCUGCAGCAGGUCAAUAUCUCUCAGAAAAGCUAAUAUCUCAGCUCCACAUUUAAUAGAUAAAGCUGCAGCUACUGGGACUUGGAUCAAAUAGUUCAUCGAUUGAUCCAGUCAGGUCUUUUAGUUGGUUCCUGGACUUACCGGAUGCAAUUGUGCGCCCUUUCAGAACCAAUGAUUCCAGUUGAUUUAUUUCAAAGCAGAAGCAUUAGGGCCUCAGUCUUUGAAAGACAAGAUACUGGGAAAUUCUCAUGGGGUUUCAGAGUACGGUAUUUUGCAUAAUUACUGCAAAAACUUUGCUUGGAGCCUGAGACAGGGAGAUCUGUGGGAGCUUAGGUGGUGCUUGGGAAAUCAGAGUGAUGAGGCUGUUGACAAUAAAAACAAUUUGCAAAUCACUUUCUGGCAUAUUAGUUGAAAUUUCAAUCAAUCGAGAAGAAAUCUAUGUUUAGUAGGUGCCAACUGAAUGGAUUGGGGAAGUCACUAAGGGUUGGUGCCACUGGCAUUUAGUCUUUUUAUACACGUGUUUGAUACAGUAAGCUGAAUUUCUUGUGUCAACAUAUGCAGCAUAAGUCGCUUUUUCUUUUCUUUUUUUCUAAGUACAUGAAUUUUAUUGAUGAAAAAUAUUCUGUUGAAAGAAUUAUUCAUUCUACAGAAGACUGAGGGAUUCGAUUGAAACAA
This is an RNA transcript of Elaeis guineensis (African oil palm), 2056 nucleotides long. It is a transcript of the gene named dehydrogenase FPY6, with no coding region annotated. NCBI's taxonomy places the organism in Eukaryota, Viridiplantae, Streptophyta, Magnoliopsida, Arecales, Arecaceae. The record is from RefSeq and is a predicted model, not a curated record.